Molecule: ribosomal RNA, 253 nt
Filed under: uncultured bacterium
Lineage: Bacteria
Description: partial 16S ribosomal RNA
Rfam family: Bacterial small subunit ribosomal RNA
Source: RNAcentral
GACGGAGGAUGCAAGCGUUAUCCGGAAUUAUUGGGCGUAAAGCGUCCGCAGGCGGCUGUUCAAGUCUGCUGUCAAAGACCGGGGCUUAACUUCGGAAAGGCAGUGGAAACUGAACAGCUAGAGUAUGGUAGGGGCAGAGGGAAUUCCUGGUGUAGCGGUGAAAUGCGUAGAUAUCAGGAAGAACAUCGGUGGCGAAGGCGCUCUGCUGGACCAUAACUGACACUCAGGGACGAAAGCUAGGGGAGCGAAUGGG